Molecule: ribosomal RNA, 484 nt
Filed under: uncultured bacterium
Lineage: Bacteria
Description: partial 16S ribosomal RNA
Rfam family: Bacterial small subunit ribosomal RNA
Source: RNAcentral
AUUGAACGCUGGCGGCAGGCCUAACACAUGCAAGUCGAGCGGAUGAAGGGAGCUUGCUCCUGGAUUCAGCGGCGGACGGGUGAGUAAUGCCUAGGAAUCUGCCUGGUAGUGGGGGAUAACGUCCGGAAACGGGCGCUAAUACCGCAUACGUCCUGAGGGAGAAAGUGGGGGAUCUUCGGACCUCACGCUAUCAGAUGAGCCUAGGUCGGAUUAGCUAGUUGGUGGGGUAAAGGCCUACCAAGGCGACGAUCCGUAACUGGUCUGAGAGGGUGAUCAGUCACACUGGAACUGAGACACGGUCCAGACUCCUACGGGAGGCAGCAGUGGGGGAUAUUGGACAAUGGGCGAAAGCCUGAUCCAGCCAUGCCGCGUGUGUGAAGAAGGUCUUCGGAUUGUAAAGCACUUUAAGUUGGGAGGAAGGGCAGUAAGUUAAUACCUUGCUGUUUUGACGUUACCAACAGAAUAAGCACCGGCUAACUUCGUG